This 558-nucleotide ribosomal RNA is filed under the name Bacteroidetes bacterium oral taxon 281. Its description in RNAcentral is "bacterial SSU rRNA". It matches the Rfam family "Bacterial small subunit ribosomal RNA", at positions 372 to 928 of the family's 1533-position model. The record is from RNAcentral. Lineage: Bacteria; Pseudomonadati; Bacteroidota.
UGGGCGGAAGCCUGAUCCAGCCAUGCCGCGUGAAGGAAUAAGGUCCUAUGGGUCGUAAACUUCUUUUGACGCAGAGCAAUAAGGAACACGUGUGUUCCGAUGAGAGUAUGCGUCGAAUAAGCAUCGGCUAACUCCGUGCCAGCAGCCGCGGUAAUACGGAGGAUGCGAGCGUUAUCCGGAUUUAUUGGGUUUAAAGGGUGCGUAGGCUGUUGGAUAAGUCAGCGGUGAAAUCACCACGCUUAACGUGUUGUGUGCCGUUGAAACUGUCCAGCUUGAAUGCGCUCGUCGUGAGAGGAAUGUGUGGUGUAGCGGUGAAAUGCAUAGAUAUCACACAGAACACCGAUUGCGAAGGCAUCUCACGAGAGCGUUAUUGACGCUGAUGCACGAAAGCGCGGGUAUCGAACAGGAUUAGAUACCCUGGUAGUCCGCGCUGUAAACGAUGAUGACUAACCGUUGGUCUGGUAUGGAUCAGUGGUCAAGCGAAAGCGUUAAGUCAUCCACCUGGGGGAGUACGGCCGCAAGGCUGAAACUCAAAGGAAUUGACGGGGGCCCGCACAA